Non-coding RNA from Rattus norvegicus (Norway rat), 70 nucleotides. NCBI's taxonomy places the organism in Eukaryota, Metazoa, Chordata, Mammalia, Rodentia, Muridae. The record is from Rfam.
GGGGAUUUAGCUCAGUGGUAGAGCACUUGCCUAGCAAGCGCAAGGCCCUGGGUUCGGUCCCCAGCUCCCA